AACGUAGGUUCCGAGCGUUAUCCGGAAUUACUGGGCGUAGAGCGCAUGUAGGCGGCCAAGCAGGUCGGAUGUGAAAUCCCUCGGCUCAACCAAGGAAGUGCAUUCGAAACCGCAUGGCUGGAGUCCCGGAGAGGAUGGUGGAAUUCUCGGUGUAGAGGUGAAAUUCGUAGAUAUCGAGAGGAACACCGGCGGCGAAAGCGGCCAUCUGGACGAGGACUGACGCUGAGAUGCGAAAGCGUGGGGAGCAAACAGG
This 253-nucleotide ribosomal RNA is filed under the name uncultured bacterium. RNAcentral's name for it is "partial 16S ribosomal RNA". It matches the Rfam family "Bacterial small subunit ribosomal RNA", at positions 524 to 776 of the family's 1533-position model. The record is from RNAcentral.